Molecule: long non-coding RNA, 1232 nt
Filed under: Pogona vitticeps (central bearded dragon)
Lineage: Eukaryota; Metazoa; Chordata; Lepidosauria; Squamata; Agamidae
Description: lncRNA (ENSPVIG00000017439.1)
Source: RNAcentral
AGCGCUCGUUAAGCGAGGCACCACUGUACUUUCAAUCACUAUCUCUCUGGUAAUAUUAGUAACUUCAUUCUUGCUUGUUCAAUAUCUUUUAUCUCAAUUCCCUCUCCUAACACUCUCAGCUCAAAUCCCUAACCUUAUCCUUCUCUCUUCUAAACCCUAACUGCCAUUCCACAUUCCCCAACUGUCUCUCUAACUCUUCAACAGUCUAAUUCCUGAAGUCCAGCAACAACCUCUCUUGAAGCCUGGGAGAUGUGUGUGUGUGGGGGGGCGAACUAACAUUCAAGGUGGGUUAGUGAUAAAAAUGAAAAAAUAUUAAAACACAUGGCAAUAUUGAGAAAAUAAGCCAAUAAGAAUGUGUCUGUGUUUGUGUGUGAUUGAGUGAAUGAGUGAGACAAUUUUCAUUAUGCAACUUCCUAUCUGUUAUCAAAAGCACUGCUUCUAAUUGUCAGGCUUCUGCUUUUAAAUCAGGGAAGCCAUUAGCAACCCAGCCUUUAUAACUGACACUGGGUUCUGUGAGACCUACCUCAGGGGCCAAACUACAUCUCUCCCUUAAUGUGUGAUCUGCCCCAUUCUUGUAUUGAUUCAAAAACUUGUAGUUGAUGUUCUGGAUUCCAGCGUUUGAUGUGUUUACAUAGCUGUCAUGGCAACAAGAUUCCAAGCUUACUCAGUACCACUCACUCACCUAUAGGACUUGGCUGGUGAUGGAAGCACCUUUGGGGCUCUACUUUUAGUGUUCCUUGGUUGUAUCCCCAUUUGCUGUAAGCAAAUUCAUUGGCAUUUCCUGCCAUUCUGAAGAAUGUUCACAAUAGGCAUUGAAUGCCCAGUGGUUCAAGGAACCGACUCUCUCCAGGCUCUGAAUCACUGGCCAUUUGCAGAGCGCCUGGUGAAGGCCCAGCAAAUUCUAAGAAAUCUUUGAUUACAAGCUCCUGCCGUUCGGCAAGCCUGUGGAAUCUGAGAGACCACAGGAAGAAGCUGAGAGGUUUUCCAGCCUAACCGUAUCGGCCGUCUCACCACAAGAACUUCCUAUUUUGGCUCAGUCCCUUCAGUCAACUUGAGGCUAUGCCUCUAGAUCAGCAGGGCUGCGCUUGAGGAGAGUUUGUUGGCUCGCUGGAUUUAUGAAGUCGCCCUUGCUUAACACAAGCCCCUCUUUCUUGCAUCAAAAACACUCAUGUUUGCUUUAUUAAACACUGGCUAAUAUUCGAAGGUGCAUAAAUGGCUUCCAUUACAUUUGC